CGGGGACACAGGGAUGGACACAGGGACAGACGGACAGAGGGACACACGGACAUGGGACAGAGGGACACAGGGACAGGGAUGGAUACGGGGACAGACGGACACAGGGACAGACGGACAGAGGGACACACGGACAUGGGACAGAGGGACACAGGGACAGGCAUGGAUAUGGGGACAGACGGACACAGGGACAGACGGACAGACGGACACAGGGACAGGGAUGGACACAGGGACACGGGACAGACACAGGGACAGAGGGACAGACGGACACGGGGACAGGGACAAGGACACAGGGAUGGACACAGGGGACAGACAGACAGACGGACGCGGGACACAGGGAUGGACACAGGCAUGGACAGCGAGAUGGACACAGGACAGACGGACAGACGGACACGGGACACAGACAUGGAGACAGGGAUGGGACACGGAUAGAUGGACAGACGGACACAGGACACAGGGAUGGACACCGGGACAGGACAGACGGACGGACACGGGACACAGACACGGAGACAGGGAUGGGACACAGGGACAGACAGACACAGGACACGGGGAUGGACACAAGGACAGGACAGACAGACGGACAUGGGACACAGGGAUGGACACAGGGACAGACAGACAGAGGGACAGACGGACACGGGCACAGACAGGCAGACGGACACAGGGACAGGACAGGACAGACAGACGGACACGGGGACAGGGACAAGGACACAGGGAUGGACACGGGGACAGGACAGACAGACGGACAUGGGGACAGAGGGAUGGGGGACAGGGAUGGACAGACAGGACAUGGGGACAAGGACAGACAGAUGGACACGGGGACAGGGACAGGACACAGGGAUGGACACAGGGACAGAUCGACAGACGAACACAGGACAGAUGGACACGGGGACAGGACAGACAGACGGACACAGGACAGACGAACACAGGACAGAUGGACACGGGGACAGGACAGACAGGCGGNCGGACACAGGGACAGGACAGACAGACAGACACAGGGAUGGACGGACACA
This 1007-nucleotide long non-coding RNA is filed under the name Lonchura striata (white-rumped munia). RNAcentral's name for it is "domestica (Bengalese finch) lncRNA (ENSLSDG00000003698.1)". Lineage: Eukaryota; Metazoa; Chordata; Aves; Passeriformes; Estrildidae. The record is from RNAcentral.